RNAcentral lists this ribosomal RNA (460 nucleotides) under Hemichordata sp. RCMBAR983. RNAcentral's name for it is "partial 16S ribosomal RNA". It matches the Rfam family "Bacterial large subunit ribosomal RNA", at positions 1993 to 2597 of the family's 2925-position model. The record is from RNAcentral. Lineage: Eukaryota; Metazoa; Hemichordata.
UGAAUGGCAAGACGAGAGCCUGACUGUCUCCUCUUUUUAUAUUGAAACUUCUCUGGCCGUGCAAAAGCGGCUAUACAAGCGCUAGACGAGAAGACCCUAUCGAGCUUAAGAAAGAUAAGAAAAACGAAAAGCUAAUCUAAAUGAAAAUAAGGUUACAAACUAACACAAUUCAUAACUUUAGCUUUACUUUCCCUCUUUUUAUUUCUUUGGUUGGGGCAACCGCGGAGAACACCCACCCUCCGAACCACACUACUAUUAACCGACAUUUUGUCUUAAACACAAACCUAAUGGAAAAUGAUCCGGUAAAACCGAACAAUAAACCAAGUUACCGUAGGGAUAACAGCGUAAUCCCUCCCAAGAGCCCGCAUUGCCGGAGGGGUUUGCGACCUCGAUGUUGGAUCGGGGAAUCCCGACGGUGCAGCCGCUGUCAAAGGUUGGUCUGUUCGACCAUUAAAACCCC